GACGAACGCUGGCGGCGUGCUUAACACAUGCAAGUCGAACGGAAAGGCCCUGCUUUUGUGGGGUGCUCGAGUGGCGAACGGGUGAGUAACACGUGAGUAACCUGCCCUUGACUUUGGGAUAACUUCAGGAAACUGGGGCUAAUACCGGAUAGGAGCUCCUGCUGCAUGGUGGGGGUUGGAAAGUUUCGGCGGUUGGGGAUGGACUCGCGGCUUAUCAGCUUGUUGGUGGGGUAGUGGCUUACCAAGGGGAUGACGGGUAGCCGGCCUGAGAGGGUGACCGGCCACACUGGAACGGAGACAGGGUCCAGACGCCUACGGGAGGCAGCAGUGGGGAAUAUUGGACAAUGGGCGGAAGCCUGGUCCAGCCAUACCGCGUGGGUGAAGAAGGCCUUCGGGUUGGAAAGCCGUUUUGUGGGGAAAGAAAAGCAGCAGGUUAAUACCCCGCUGUUCUGACGGUACCCAAAGAAGAAGCACCGGCUAACUUCGUG
This 488-nucleotide ribosomal RNA is filed under the name uncultured bacterium. RNAcentral's name for it is "partial 16S ribosomal RNA". It matches the Rfam family "Bacterial small subunit ribosomal RNA", at positions 28 to 507 of the family's 1533-position model. The record is from RNAcentral.